RNAcentral lists this ribosomal RNA (23 nucleotides) under homobasidiomycete sp. WRCF-B9. RNAcentral describes it as "partial 18S ribosomal RNA". Lineage: Eukaryota; Fungi; Basidiomycota; Agaricomycetes. The record is from RNAcentral.
UUUCCGUAGGUGAACUUGCGGAA